RNAcentral lists this ribosomal RNA (179 nucleotides) under uncultured freshwater bacterium. RNAcentral describes it as "partial 16S ribosomal RNA". It matches the Rfam family "Bacterial small subunit ribosomal RNA", at positions 334 to 525 of the family's 1533-position model. The record is from RNAcentral.
GACUCCUACGGGAGGCAGCAGUGGGGAAUAUUGGGCAAUGGAGGAAACUCUGACCCAGCGACGCCGCGUGAGGGAUGAAGGCCUUCGGGUUGUAAACCUCUUUCAGUAGGGAAGAAGCGAAAGUGACGGUACCUACAGAAGAAGCACCGGCUAACUAUGUGCCAGCAGCCGCGGUAAUA